Drosophila suzukii is the source of this 1599-nucleotide non-coding RNA. NCBI's taxonomy places the organism in Eukaryota, Metazoa, Arthropoda, Insecta, Diptera, Drosophilidae. The record is from RefSeq and is a predicted model, not a curated record.
CCGAGUACAAUUAAAUCUAGUAUACGCCGCGUUCGGCGACGGAGUUGUUUGUAGAGCGAUUGGCGGACACAGAAUAAAAGCGCGAAUCUGGCCAGUCGUUCAAUUUAAAACAAAAGUUAGCCGUUGCCAGUGAAGUGAGCCUCUAUCUCGAUCCCAAAGCUCUCGGAAUCUCGGAGCUCGCUCGAGUACCGCCUAAGCCCCUCGAUCUCCACCGAUCUCGCCGUGGAACGUUCGCACUUGGCAAUGGCACUGGUUAAGCAUGAGCAUUAACAUUGAGUCAGACAUUCGCCUCAGGCCGGGGUGAAUCGGGGUUCACGGUCGCGGCCCAGACAGCAAAACGUGAGAGAUGGGCCAAAAACCGGAGACAGACGACAUAUGUCGGCCGAUAAAGACGUCAGCGAUCUGUAGGCCAGUACUUAGAGCUCUUAUCGCCAAGAUAAACCCAACAUAAGGGGGAGUUUUCGCUUCCAUAAACGCCUUUAGCGGUGAUUCGCAAAAAAUCUUGGUGCUAUUUAACCCUCUAGUCAUUAUUUUUAGCCAUCUUAUUAGGCAACAAAAGCCGAAACAGUUAAAAAGCCACAUCGUUUUUAAGAUAAAUCCUAAAAUAAAUUUGAGACUAAGGGAUUUCUUAUCACUACAACCUAAUAGACAUUUUAAGAGGGUCAGCACUAAAGAUAAAUUUAUUUAUCUGCAAAAUUUGUAUACAAAGGUAUAUAAACUCUUUUUAUAUAUAAAAGUCUUAUUAGACUUUCAAUUUUAUGAAAAAAACCAAUGUUAUUGUAAUUUUAAAACAACCCACAAGUCAAAAGCUUCCAUUUCUGUAUAACUCAAAGCUUUAACAGCAAAGAUAAAAUAUGUUUUCGGGUAAAAAUGUUGUAAGUAUUAUUACAGAUAUUUUGUUAAGACUAGGCUGGACAUUUAGGGCCUAAAGCACUUACGUUCUCUGUCGUCGCCAUGGCAGAAAUCGAGAAGUCGAGGAACCUUUCACCCUGACCAAGCCGGGACCAACUGAACCGAUCCGACCCGCGGAUUAUCCGAUGGCGAUGCAAACGAGCCGAGCCAACCCCAAUAUAAUAAUAAUAAAUCAGCUUUCAUCAGUGGCGCAGAGGUGUCCCAAAUGGGUUUCGCUCUUUGGUGCGCAAUUCUCCGUGAUUAAACCAACGCAUAGUGCCUAAAACAGUUUAGAGCCUCAAAUUGAGAAUAACAAAGCAAUUUUUCAAUUGAGCUGCCACAAAUUUACACGCUUCCAUGAUAUAUGGGUGGGCAGAACCCGCUCUACAUAGCAUAUAUGUUUGCUGUAUUUCAAUCUGAAAGUAAAAGUCGGGGAAAUUGGCGAGGCCAAAGGGCAGGCGACCACCUGACCCAUUCGAGGGUGACUCUAGACCAACAGGGAAAUGGACCAGCAAAUGCGAAUGCAAAUGGAGAGGAGAUCUCUGGGCCAGCGGCACGUGUUCUUUGUUUAGUGACACCAAACAGGGCAGCGCAAGUUCAGGGCGAAAUCAAUUUCCCUUGCCCGUAUUAUGUGAGCUGUAAGUGGUUUGGAGUGCACUGGAAAAAAUAUUGUAUACAAUUUUAAAUUUAUUUUUUAAAAAUUAUAGG